Molecule: non-coding RNA, 471 nt
Organism: Vicia faba (fava bean)
Lineage: Eukaryota; Viridiplantae; Streptophyta; Magnoliopsida; Fabales; Fabaceae
Source: the annotation of a GenBank genome assembly
AACACACUUGACCAGAAUAUACUAGCAAACAUUGAUGAUCUCUUUGAAUACUUAGACACUCUCACUAAGUUUCUUCUCUCUUAUAUCCCAAAAAUAGCCUCUCUCUUUUUCUCCUUACACAAGAAAACAAUCAUUUUCAUAGUGUGGAAUCUAGCUAGUUUUGGAUAUAUAUUACUACAAUUUCUAAUGGAUGACAAAAGAAAGACAAGUUCAAGCAACCACAAGACAUUUUUCUCAAGGAGUUCUUCAACAAGAAGCUCUACUUCAAAUUCAAACACUUCACUCCUAAGGAGUUCUUCAUCUUCCUCCAAAUGCAAUCUUCCAAGAAGCUUUUCACAGAAGAACUCUUCUUCUUCUUCUUCUUCUAUAGGUCACAAAUGCACCAAUCUAGCUAAGGAACAAAAAGCAAGAUUCUACAUAAUGAGAAGGUGUGUUGCCAUGUUAGUUUGUUGGCAUAAACAUGGAGAUUAG